Non-coding RNA from Epinephelus lanceolatus (giant grouper), 246 nucleotides. NCBI's taxonomy places the organism in Eukaryota, Metazoa, Chordata, Actinopteri, Perciformes, Serranidae. The record is from RefSeq and is a predicted model, not a curated record.
GUGAUGUUCUGAGAUAAAGACGAGGAGGACAGGAAGAAAGACAAGAGACCAGGUGAGGACAGGUACUCUGCUCUCCUUGACGCCAUUUGAUAGAAAAGUUUGUGGGACCACAGAGAGCCUAGGGAGGUCGACCUGUCAGUGAAGCCCCUCCCACCUCCCAACUGUACGGUGUGUGUGUGUGUGUGUGUGUGUGUGUGUGUAUAAGAGAGCUUAUUUAAAAGGCUGCCUCACUCUUGCUGGGUGAUC